Molecule: unclassified non-coding RNA, 212 nt
Filed under: Hevea brasiliensis (rubber tree)
Lineage: Eukaryota; Viridiplantae; Streptophyta; Magnoliopsida; Malpighiales; Euphorbiaceae
Source: RNAcentral
AGAAGAUGAAGCUGAAAAAGAUGAUUCUGAUGAUGGAAGUGGUGAUGGCGGCAGCAAAGAAGGAAGUGGGAAGGAAAUGAGUGACUCAGAAUCUGAGACAGAACCUCAGACUCCUGCUCCUGCUGCUCCUGGAAAAGGAAAGGGAAAAACAGCUCCAAGGCAGCUCUUGACUUGAAGAAGCAAGUAAAUCUCCUCCAGGCUCUUAAGAAUGC